RNAcentral lists this ribosomal RNA (784 nucleotides) under uncultured archaeon. RNAcentral's name for it is "partial 16S ribosomal RNA". It matches the Rfam family "Archaeal small subunit ribosomal RNA", at positions 102 to 859 of the family's 1478-position model. The record is from RNAcentral.
GGAUAACCUGCCCUUGGGACCGGCAUAACCCCGGGAAACUGGGGAUAAUUCCGGAUAACGCAUAUGUGCUGGAAUGCUUUAUGCGUAAAAUGGAUUCGUCUGCCCAAGGAUGGGUCUGCGGCCUAUCAGGUAGUAGUGGGUGUAAUGUACCUACUAGCCAACAACGGGUACGGGUUGUGAGAGCAAGAGCCCGGAGAUGGAUUCUGAGACAUGAAUCCAGGCCCUACGGGGCGCAGCAGGCGCGAAAACUUUACAAUGCGGGAAACCGUGAUAAGGGGACACCGAGUGCCAGCGUCAUACGCUGGCUGUCCGGGUGUGUAAAAUACACCUGUCAGCAAGGGCCGGGCAAGACCGGUGCCAGCCGCCGCGGUAACACCGGCGGCCCGAGUGGUGAUCGUGAUUAUUGGGUCUAAAGGGUCCGUAGCCGGUUUGGUCAGUCCUCCGGGAAAUCUGACGGCUCAACCGUUANGCUUUCGGGGGAUACUGCCAGGCUUGGAACCGGGAGAGGUAAGAGGUACUACAGGGGGUAGGAGUGAAAUCUUGUAAUUCCCUGUGGGACCACCUGUGGCGAANGCGUCUUACCANAACGGGUUCGACGGUGANGGGACGAAAGCUGGGGGCACGAACCCGGAUUANAUACCCNGGUUAGUUCCCANNCCGUNAAAACNAUGCUCGCUUAGNUGUUCAAGGCAUGGGCGCCAACCCGUGUUUUGGUGCCNCAAGGGGAANCCCGNGAAAACCANCCCNCCCUNGGGAAGUCCCGGCCNCAAAGGCUGAAACUUAA